GACGAACGCUGGCGGCGUGCUUAACACAUGCAAGUCGAGCGGUAAGGCCCUUUCGGGGGUACACGAGCGGCGAACGGGUGAGUAACACGUGGGUGACCUGCCCUCAGCUCUGGGAUAAGCCUGGGAAACCGGGUCUAAUACUGGAUAUGACUCCAUGACGCAUGUUGUGGGGUGGAAAGCCUUGUGCGGCUGAGGAUGGGCCCGCGGCCUAUCAGCUUGUUGGUGGGGUGAGGCCUACCAAGGCGACGACGGGUAGCCGGCCUGAGAGGGCGACCGGCCACACUGGGACUGAGACACGGCCCAGACUCCUACGGGAGGCAGCAGUGGGGAAUCUUGCGCAAUGGGCGAAAGCCCUGACGCAGCGACGCCGCGUGAGGGAUGACGGCCU
RNAcentral lists this ribosomal RNA (388 nucleotides) under uncultured bacterium. Its description in RNAcentral is "bacterial SSU rRNA". It matches the Rfam family "Bacterial small subunit ribosomal RNA", at positions 28 to 417 of the family's 1533-position model. The record is from RNAcentral.